UCCGCUUCUUUUAAUUGGUUUGAUCUGAUUAAUUGUGGGUGCUCAUUCAGGUGCCCGGAAUGCGACGGAGCGGGCUUUGUCCGAAGCACAGGCGUGACUUUGAAGGCCAAUGCUGCAAGGAAGGAUCUGAAGGAGAUCGUCUGCAAACGUUGCAAUGGUCUUGGCAAAUUGGGUCAGAUUGACAAAAAAUAACGAAAAUUUCUAAAAAAGUAAAUAACUGUAUAUGUAAAAAUAUAUGAAUUUAAAAUACUGGAAGGGGUCGUAUGCAAACUGUUACUCUCUUAAAUUGAUGAUAAUACUUUUUUAUUUCUUAAUAAGGAUAAGCUGUUAGUUCUCCCCUUUUCUGAAUACUUCACUCCUCCGAUCUACGGUGAUGUUGACGCUGAGUCAUGUUCCGUUCUUUCCACCCCAGAUCUCCUAUGACAACAAGCAUGGAUCUUCUUCAUCCCUCAGUACUAGGUUUAAUAGCCAGAGAAGAAGAAGCAGUCGGUGCAGAGUGAGCACUGUGGUGAGCAAAGCCAGUACCGUUCUCGUGACCGGAGCUGGUGGUAAAACUGGUCAGAUUGUUUAUGAGAAGCUUAAGGAGAGAGAGGGUGAGUUUGUGGGUAGAGGUUUGGUGAGGACGGAGGAGAGCAAGAAGAAAAUUGGAGGAGGAGAUGAUGUUUUCGUGGGCGAUAUCAGAGAUUCAGAAACAAUGGUUCCUGCAUUUGAGGGUAUCGAUUCUCUGAUCAUUCUGACCAGUGCCGUUCCGAAGAUGAAACCUGGAUUCGAUCCAAGUAAAGGGGAGAGACCGGAAUUCUAUUUUCCAGACGGUUGUUUUCCCGAACAAGUUGAUUGGAUUGGACAAAAGAAUCAGAUCGACUUAGCCAAAUCAGCUGGGGUGAAGCAGAUCGUUUUGGUCGGGUCAAUGGGCGGGACGGACAUUAAAAACAAUUUAAAUCUUCUUGGCAAUGGCAACAUAUUGGUUUGGAAGAGGAAGGCUGAACAAUACCUGGCAGAUUCUGGAAUACCAUACACCAUCAUAAGGUAAUGAAUUAUGAAUGUGUUUGAUUCAUUCGCUGAAUAAAUCGUAAUUACUCUGUAUCAGAGCCGGUGGCUUACAAGAUAAAGACGGCGGGUUAAGAGAACUCAUCGUCGGUAAAGACGACGAGUUUCUCAAAAGCGAAACGAGAACCAUUGCAAGAGCAGAUGUUGCUCAAAUGUGCAUCAAGGCGCUGGAGUUUGAAGAAGCCAAGAACAAGGCAUUGGAUUUGGUAUCCAAGACAGAAGACGCCGGAGUUGCCACCACGGAUUUCCAAGCACUUUACGCUCAGAUCACUUCCACAUUCUAAGUGCAAUAAUUCAGUAAAUAAACGUGGUUAAAUUAAGUUCAUUUUACAAACUAUGAUUGAUCACUACGGUUUCCAUGCUGAAAUUGCAUAAAUAAUGCGUCCCUUCCAUCCCUGCACAAGCCAUCUUCCAUCAGUAUCUAUAACAAAGUCUUUAUGAUAACAAGAAUGCACUUUAUCCUUUGAUUCCUUCAGUAUUUCUUUGUUCAGAGGAAGCUGUAUGUAUCCAGCCCUUAGAUUUCUCACUUGCCAUUGCUUGUAAAUCUCUGGUCUCUCAACUCUUUCAGAACCCUCACAUGCAAUCACAUUCAUGGCUUCUCGACCAUAUAUCUCCUUCUCUAUCAGUAAUCUCUCUGGAUGUUCGCGAGGUACAGUUGCCUCUAACAUGUCGAAAGAACAUGAGAAAUGGAAAAGAGCCUCCCUGAACCUUGUCACGAAGAAUGGAGCGCUGUAUGCACCGUUUACCACGCCCUGGAUGAAAACAUUUGGAUUCAGCUUCUUGAUCUUAUUCAGCACCACAUUUCUAGGACUGUCCACCGCCACUACCGUCUCGUCCACAAGAUUUCUCAAUUUGUAUAAACAAUUCACAACAACCACUUCGUUGUUAUUGUCCACCUUCAGAUCCUCAAUUUCAAUCUUCUCCCAUUUGGAUGCAAUGGGAUGGUACUCAAAGGGAACAUUGAAUCUAUCAGCAUAGCCUGCCAAACGUCGUCCUGUUUCCUCAAUCCGUUCGUUGGGGCGAAAACCAGGUUGGGGAACAUCAAUUCCGGUUAUUCGGAGCUUUGGAGGUCCACCUGGAAGCAAUGACAGCCUCUGAAUCAAACAUGGCCACUGAAAUCCAAAGUAGAUGCCAAAGUCUAUAAUGUGAAUUGUAUUAUUCUUCAUUCUCUUUGCCUUGUCUGCAAGAUUUAUAAUAUUUCGAUUUGCGAAAAAAUGUGAGAUUUUCCUGAAUGGACAUGCAGCAUGGUAAAGAUGGUGAGCUUUAAGAGUGUCAGUAGCUGAUUGCCACUUUGCUACAAGAGAAUGGUAGAUCUGGCUUCCAUUUCCUGCAAGCCUAGCCUCUAGGCAAUCUGCAAAAAUAUGAGCAAGUCUCUGGGAUCCAUCACCAUAAGCAGAGGAGUGCUGCCUGAUCUGCUUCAGAAUGUCACUGGCAGUACGAUGGUCAUCAGCAGCAACAGAUUGGGCACAAUGAAUGAGAAGAGUUCUUAGAUCAACGACAUCCUUGUUUUUGCUUUUAACAUUCUUCUUCUUGCUCUUGGAUUUUCCACCUCUCGAUGAAACUCUCUUUGUAUCACUGCCAUUCCUUGUUAUCUUACUCUUCAAAUCCUCUCUGAGUUUAGAAAUGCCAUCCUGGUUCAUUUCUCCAUGCGGACAAAGAAGAACCUCAUCAAAUAGCUCUGACUGAAUGCUCUCCCGGGAUGAAAAUGAAAAAGCUGGUUGCUUAAUACUUCUCCUACCCUCAUCGUCUUCACCAUCCAAAAUAUCAUUGUAAGAUUUUUUUCGUCCUGACAGAAUCGAAUUGAAAACAUCAUGGUGUCUGUUCUCCUCUUCAGCCUUAAUCUUGCACUGGUGAAAGAGAUUAUCGUAGUCCGGAAGGAACUUGCUAGCCUCCUCUACCCCUUUAUUGAAGUUCCAAACGGGCAGGGAUUUAGAUUGGGUGUAGUGAGCAUCCAGAAUGAUGGUAUUAUUGGAGUCGAAAGAGGUCAAUGAAUACGGUGGUGAAGGGUGAUCGUCAAUUAGGGUUGAAUGAACAGUAGAGUUACUUGAAUUUGUAUCAGGAGUAGUUGGCAAUCCAUAUUCGACAUGAGACAAGGGAGGAUAAUCCUGACCUAAAAUUUCAAGAAAAGGUUUCUCAACAGCUAAGAGAUCAGAAUCUCCCAAUGGAACAUUGAACUUGUCCUCUUCCAUCAUAUUAUCCUCCUCCAAAAGCAUCCUCCUUAUGUAACUGAGAGUUAUAUCGGAUUCCUCUGUUUCGGAAUAAGAUGUUUCCAAAUCAACUUGGGGAGGAACAGCAUGGUUGGUACAGCAGUUUGGGCGAGGGCUCUGAGUAUCCAGUCUGAAGGUGUUUCCAAAAUUAUGGAUGGGAAGAGAAGAAGGAACAGGAACAGGAGGAGGAGAAAGAGGAGGAAGAGAAUCCCCAAAUCUGAACUCAUCAAUCAAUCUGGUUAACUCUAUUCCUGGAUCCAUCGUAACCAUUUAUUUCUUCCUAACAAAAGGGCGAGGGAACGCCGACCGCGGACAGACCAGUGAGAGCACGGCCUACCAAAGACAUGCUAACUAAAUCGUCUAACUAAAACAAGAAAGAAAACACACAGUACGAGAGAAAGAUACCUCGGAGUCUGAUCGACGGCGAAUCGGCGAUGAAUCGGCGAUAAAGGAAUUUGAACAACGAGAAUUCCGUCUUGGCCGUUUCAGAUGUGACGAGUCACAAAAGAGAGCCGGCGUACGGGGGUAUAUAAAACAGGUGGGAGUGUGGGACCCAGACUGGCCGGUAAAUCGGGUCUCUGGUCGUAUAGCGUGCACAGUGCGUACUGAAUAAAAAUAUUAUAAGCUGGCAACUUGAGGAUUAUUUGAUUCACACGACAGAUAAUCUGAUAAACUUGGGUUUAAUGCACAGC
RNAcentral lists this long non-coding RNA (3946 nucleotides) under Zostera marina. RNAcentral's name for it is "long non-coding RNA (ZMAR_LNC006019)". Lineage: Eukaryota; Viridiplantae; Streptophyta; Magnoliopsida; Alismatales; Zosteraceae. The record is from RNAcentral.